This 942-nucleotide ribosomal RNA is filed under the name uncultured bacterium. RNAcentral's name for it is "bacterial SSU rRNA". It matches the Rfam family "Bacterial small subunit ribosomal RNA", at positions 8 to 989 of the family's 1533-position model. The record is from RNAcentral.
AGAGUUUGAUCCUGGCUCAGAACGAACGCUGGCGGCAUGCCUAACACAUGCAAGUCGAACGCGGGACUUCGGCCCUGAGUGGCGCACGGGUGAGUAGCGCGUGGGAACCUGCCCUUCAGUGGGGGAUAACCGAGGGAAACUUCGGCUAAUACCGCAUGCGCCCGGAGCAAUCCGGGGAAAGAUUUAUCGCUGAAGGAGGGGCCCGCGUCGGAUUAGCUAGUUGGUAGGGUAACGGCCUACCAAGGCGAUGAUCCGUAGCUGGUCUGAGAGGAUGAUCAGCCACACUGGGACUGAGACACGGCCCAGACUCCUACGGGAGGCAGCAGUGGGGAAUAUUGGACAAUGGGCGAAAGCCUGAUCCAGCAAUGCCGCGUGAGUGAGGAAGGCCUUAGGGUUGUAAAGCUCUUUCGGCGGGGACGAUGAUGACGGUACCCGCAGGAGAAGCCCCGGCUAACUUCGUGCCAGCAGCCGCGGUAAUACGAAGGGGGCGAGCGUUGUUCGGAUUUACUGGGCGUAAAGGGCGCGCAGGCGGCCAUUUUUGUCGAGUGUGAAAGCCCCGGGCUUAACCUGGGAACCGCGCUCGAAACGGGAUGGCUAGAGAUCGGGAGAGGAGAGUGGAAUUCCCAGUGUAGAGGUGAAAUUCGUAGAUAUUGGGAAGAACACCGGUGGCGAAGGCGGCUCUCUGGACCGAUACUGACGCUGAGGCGCGAAAGCGUGGGGAGCAAACAGGAUUAGAUACCCUGGUAGUCCACGCUGUAAACGAUGUGUGCUAGACGUUGGGGAGCCUAGCUCUUCGGUGUCGCAGCUAACGCGGUAAGCACACCGCCUGGGGAGUACGGCCGCAAGGUUAAAACUCAAAGGAAUUGACGGGGCCCGCACAAGCGGUGGAGCAUGUGGUUCAAUUCGACGCAACGCGAAGAACCUUACCAGCCCUUGACAUGU